CAGUCGCCGCGGUAAUACGAGGGGGGCAAGCGUUGUUCGGAAUUAUUGGGCGUAAAGGGUGCGUAGGCGGUUUGGCAAGUUUGGUGUGAAAUCUUCGGGCUCAACUCGAAGUCUGCAUCGAAAACUGCCGGGCUUGAGUAUGGGAGAGGUGAGUGGAAUUUCCGGUGUAGCGGUGAAAUGCGUAGAUAUCGGAAGGAACACCUGUGGCGAAAGCGGCUCACUGGACCAUAACUGACGCUGAUGCACGAAAGCUAGGGGAGCAAACAGGAUUAGAUACCCGCGUAGUCCCUGUCUCUUAUAA
This 301-nucleotide ribosomal RNA is filed under the name uncultured bacterium. Its description in RNAcentral is "partial 16S ribosomal RNA". It matches the Rfam family "Bacterial small subunit ribosomal RNA", at positions 509 to 809 of the family's 1533-position model. The record is from RNAcentral.